Molecule: transfer RNA, 63 nt
Filed under: Salmo salar (Atlantic salmon)
Lineage: Eukaryota; Metazoa; Chordata; Actinopteri; Salmoniformes; Salmonidae
Also listed under: 2 other names
Rfam family: tRNA
About the family: Transfer RNA (tRNA) molecules are approximately 80 nucleotides in length. Their secondary structure includes four short double-helical elements and three loops (D, anti-codon, and T loops).
Source: Rfam by way of RNAcentral
CAUGGCUCAGUUCGUAAGAGCAUGGCACUAGCAACACCAGAGUUGUGGGUUCGAUUCCCACUG